CAUGAUGUAAUGGAAUUAAGAAUGGGUCAAUGAAAUAUACAGCUCCUUUCUGGAAUGUACCUGUUCUGCUACAACCAUGGAUAUCCUGACGUUUCUGUGUCUUUCAGGGACAAGGGUAAUAGAGGAGUUUCAGACUCCCUCUAAAACAAAACAACAACUGAACAAUAAACAACAGAAAAAGAACACAAAAAAAGACGGCGGUACUCUUUCCCCUUUCCUUGCUUUCUCCUGCUACCAAAACAAACAACAAAAACUACAUUGUCUCAUUGGAUGAUGAAGCUAAAAUUUUGUAGCAAAUCUAUAAAAGAAAAGAAGUGGAAAUCUACUCAAGAGCUACUGUAAAACACUGUAUACAAAACAACCACUUUGAUUCACAUUAAA
RNAcentral lists this long non-coding RNA (381 nucleotides) under Pan troglodytes (chimpanzee). RNAcentral describes it as "lincRNA". Lineage: Eukaryota; Metazoa; Chordata; Mammalia; Primates; Hominidae. The record is from RNAcentral.